Molecule: long non-coding RNA, 698 nt
Organism: Oryza brachyantha (malo sina)
Lineage: Eukaryota; Viridiplantae; Streptophyta; Magnoliopsida; Poales; Poaceae
Exons: 5
Source: RefSeq, a predicted model, not a curated record
UCCCACUUGAGCAUCUUCUUCGUUGGAUCCGGCUCCGCGGCGGCGGCAGAGGCUUACCUACCAUGGUGAUGACUACAGGAUCUGUCGACUUGGAGGUUGGAGCGAUGAUUUGCAUUUUGGAAGCAUUCUGAUUAACCUGCGGAUUUCCCAAUGGUGUGCACGCUUGAGGCUUGCCUAUAUCAGAUUCAAUCUCUACUUCGACAUGCAUGGGCUGUAGGUUGUAGGGUACAUCAAAAUUUUGCAUGUAGGACCUGAAUGCGCUAAAAAAUAAAUCGGGAUUAUUGUUACCUAUUAAGGCUCGAUUACUGAUACCUGUUCAGCCGUAGUGGUUGAAGUAAUUUACUGAAGAUUGCUACAAUGCUACCAUAUUAUUGAGACGGUAGUGAUCGCGCGCUACGAGGAAGUCCUGAAGAGAAGGAUGCAAGAAAAGAAGUCCAAUAGUGAUUGUGCAUUGCAGAUAUGAAUUGCAAACUACAAAGAGGGUUGUGCACCAGAAAAAUGGAGCUAGGCUCGAGACUUCUGGCUGCUAAAGGACUUUCACUUGUUUAUGUUUGUUUUGAUCGGUAAACAUAUGAUUGUAUUUGGACACAUAUGAUUAGGUUUGGGUGUAAUUUUUGGCUAUAAGUCUGUAUUGGAUGUUCACUGGGUUGUAUUGGAUGUUAACUGGGCUAUAUUUGUAUGGGCUGCUAUUUGGUAAA